This is a small nuclear RNA of Molossus molossus (Pallas's mastiff bat), 104 nucleotides long. NCBI's taxonomy places the organism in Eukaryota, Metazoa, Chordata, Mammalia, Chiroptera, Molossidae. The record is from RefSeq and is a predicted model, not a curated record.
GUGCUCGCUUUGGCAGCACAUACACUGAAAUUGGAACAAUACAGAGAUUAGCAUGGCCCCUGUACAAAGAUGAUGUGCAAAUUUGUAAAGCAUUCCAUAUUUAA